RNAcentral lists this ribosomal RNA (400 nucleotides) under uncultured bacterium. Its description in RNAcentral is "bacterial SSU rRNA". It matches the Rfam family "Bacterial small subunit ribosomal RNA", at positions 355 to 772 of the family's 1533-position model. The record is from RNAcentral.
UGGGGAAUCUUCCGCAAUGGGCGAAAGCCUGACGGAGCGACACCGCGUGAAGGAUGAAAUCUUUAUUGAUGUAAACUUCUUUUCUGUGGGAAGAUAAUGACGGUACCACAGGAAUAAGGGGCGGCAAACCUCGUGCCAGCAGCCGCGGUAAUACGAGGGCCCCAAGCGUUAUCCGGAAUUACUGGGUGUAAAGCGUCUGUAGGUGGAUUAUCAAGUCUGAUGUGAAAGACCAGAGCUCAACUCUGCGUUAGCGUCGGAAACUGAUAGUCUUGAGUUAGGGAGAGGCAAGCAGAAUUAUGCGAGUAGGGGUGCAAUCCGUUGAUACGCAUAAGAAUACCAAAAGCGAAGGCAGCUUGCUGGAACUAUACUGACACUGAGAGACGAAAGCGUGGGGAGCAAA